RNAcentral lists this ribosomal RNA (157 nucleotides) under Piper amalago. Its description in RNAcentral is "5.8S ribosomal RNA". It matches the Rfam family "5.8S ribosomal RNA". Rfam says of the family: 5.8S ribosomal RNA (5.8S rRNA) is a component of the large subunit of the eukaryotic ribosome. It is transcribed by RNA polymerase I as part of the 45S precursor that also contains 18S and 28S rRNA. Functionally, it is thought that 5.8S rRNA may be involved in ribosome translocation. The record is from RNAcentral. Lineage: Eukaryota; Viridiplantae; Streptophyta; Magnoliopsida; Piperales; Piperaceae.
GACUCUCGGCAACGGAUAUCUCGGCUCUCGCAUCGAUGAAGAACGUAGCGAAAUGCGAUACUUGGUGUGAAUUGCAGAAUCCCGCGAACCAUCGAGUCUUUGAACGCAAGUUGCGCCCGAGGCCUCUAGGUCGAGGGCACAUCUGCUUGGGCGUUAA